This is an unclassified non-coding RNA of Erinaceus europaeus (western European hedgehog), 282 nucleotides long. Its record names the gene 7SK. It matches the Rfam family "7SK RNA". Rfam says of the family: 7SK was discovered as an abundant small nuclear RNA in the mid-70s but a possible function has only recently been suggested. Two independent studies have found that 7SK RNA binds the CDK9/cyclin T complex (known as elongation factor P-TEFb). The record is from Ensembl. Lineage: Eukaryota; Metazoa; Chordata; Mammalia; Eulipotyphla; Erinaceidae.
GGAUGUGAGGGUGGCUUGACUAGACAUCUGUCACCCCAUUGAUCAUUAGGGUUGAUUCCUUGAUCUGUCUGGCUAGGGGCGUGUCUCCCAUACUGCUCCUCUGCUUCUCACUUGGUCUAGAGGAUGACCUUCCCCAAUAAGAGUCUGCAGUAGAAGUUAUACAAGAAGGUAUGCUACCCUGCUAGGACCUAUAAACAAGCUCUUCAGGUCCAAAACAUUACUGAAAAUGUCAAAUAAAGGGAUCUGACAUUGAUGAAACCAACAGUAACCAGUUCAGUAGUU